AACUUGAUUGGACAGGGUGGGCAUAGGGCCGGAGGCGAUGAUGGGAACGCAACAAUAAAUGAUAAAUCCAUUAUUGCCAGUGAUGAUGAUGUCG
This 94-nucleotide small RNA is filed under the name Thalassiosira rotula. Its description in RNAcentral is "partial Betaproteobacteria transfer-messenger RNA". Lineage: Eukaryota; Bacillariophyta; Thalassiosirophyceae; Thalassiosirales; Thalassiosiraceae. The record is from RNAcentral.